CACUGGAUAUUAAAAAGGAAGUAAUGAUUCUGUAGGCAGCCUUCUAUGCACAGGGAUACCAGCCUUAUAAUUUAUGAAAGCAGAGAAGUGAUGAUGCAACUGGCUUCCUGAUUCUAUGAUGAAACCACUGCUGAAGCAACCAAUCUUUGAGGCAAGAUCCUACUUUUACCUCCCUUAGCUAAUACUUUUAUUUUUUUACUACUUUGUGUGUGGUUUUUUUUUGUUUUUUAGGGCUGUACCCAUGGCAUAUGGAACUUCCUGGGCUAGAAGUUAAAUCUGGCUGCAGCUGCUGGCUUAUACCACAGCCAUGCAAGAUCUGACUGUAUCUAUGACCUAUACCACGGCUUCUGGCAAUGCCAGAUCCUUAAACCACUGAGUGGGACCAGGGAUUGAACCCCCGUUCCUAAUGGAUACUAGUUGGGUUCGGUACUACUAAGCCAUAAUGGGAACUCCUUUGUAUUUCUUUUGAUUGCAACUAAUAGCAUUCUAGGAGUUCCUGUGGUAGCUAAGCAGUAACAAACCCAAUUAGUAGCCAUGAAGAUUUGGGUUCGAUCCCUGGACCCAGUCAAUGAGUUAAUCAUCCAGCCUUGCGUGAGCUGAGAUGUAGUUCGCAGACAUAGCUUGCAUCUGGUGUUACUGUGGCUUUGGCUUAGGUCAGCAGCUGCAGCUCCAAUUGGACCCCUAACCUGGGAACUUCCAUAUGCCGCAGAUACAGCCCUAAAAAAAAUGGCACUCUAAAAAAGCAGUAUUAUCCUGAUGAAACUUUGCUUAUCUAAAACCUUAUUUGGGCCUUACCUUACCUCCUGCUUCAAGUUAUGCUUUUGUUCAGAGAGGAAGCAAGUGCUACACCAUUCACAAUUACCUGAAAAUUGGGAUCAUUAGGCAAUCCAAACAUUAAUUCCCUCCUUGGCUGAUUGUAUGAUGAAAACCUAUUUAAUGAAUGUAUAAUAAGUAUCACCGUGUACAAUCUUUAAAUCACCUGAUAUCUGGGGACUUAAUAUAGCUUUAAAGAAUUAACACCCUCUUCAAAGAUCUCUGUUCAAAAAUACUAGAAAUUUUAAAAGGAAAACUGUCAAACUCAGGACCUGACAGUUGUAAAACAGUCCCCUCAGUGUCUCCCUAAACUUGCUGUAUGGAAUCUACCUCAGUGUUGAGUAAUUUUCUCAGUGAAUGGUAUUGGUAAUGUAUUCUGAAGUCAUUUACCUAGCCUUGACUGUAUAUAUAUUAUAUAUAUAUAUAGCUAAAAUAUAAUAACAUGAAACAGCACAUUAUCUCCUCCAUGCUAGGUAAAUAACUGAAAAGAAAACCAUACAAUCAGUCUAAUCAGUAUUUUUAUCCAUCAGUCCUUUUCAGAAAAUAACAAUGGCAAAACACAUAGCGUGCGUCUGUUUACAGAAACUUUUUUUGAAGUAUAGCUUUCAAUAUUGCACAGUUUACACUGUGGGAAAACUGUUUUAUGGUACUGGUGUUCAACUUAGUUUAUUUAGUUCCCUAUUUAACCCCUUUUCUUUCUUUAGGAAAUAUCUAUGAUCUCCUAUAACCAUCAAACAAGGAAGAAAUAUAGAUGCAUUUUCUCUCAUAAUGCAACCUUCAAAUUGCCAUUCAUUCCAUGAUUCCACUCUACCCAAUAAACAACACAAGAGGAUCUCUUCUGCAGUUUGACUUGGAUGAUAUUCCUUUUCAAGGUGUAGAAAACUUUUGGAAAUAAGUUAGUCAUGAGAAACUUUAUAAAAUAUUUUCCUAAAUUCCUUUAUGCACUUGCCUAUUAAUAAUUCUAUAAACAAUUUAUUUUUAAUUAUAUGAGGUCAAACUAUCUUUUUUCCCCACUCACAUUUGAUGGUCAGCAUAACAAGCAAUUAAAAAAUGACAUUCAGAACCCUUUGGCAGGGUUUAGCUGAACCAAGAUUGCUCUGGAGAGCUUCUCACAGUGGCACUGCAUACAUGGAAAAGGACAACUGGACUGAAUUUUGACAACAACUUCCCCAAAUCCAACACAAUACUUUAUGGUCUUUGUGUCAAUACUGUACAGUUUAGUACUAAAAUUUGUAUUUUUUUAAAUUUAUUGAGAAGCAAUUAGAACAUUCUGUCACAAAAGAUCAGUGGGGAUUUUUACACAUUGUUACAUAAUAUAUGCUAGUAUAUACUGAAAUUAAUUUUAAGAAUACAGAGAAUGAAACUGGAUCUGUCUCAAACCAUUAAGCUUUUGUGAUAGUCAGUCACAAGAUUUUAAAAUGUUAAACCACCUUGAAUUUUUAAUUUGGGAAAAAGCAUUGUUGUUAUAUUCAAAUGAAGUUUGUCUGUAACUAUAAUAUAUUAGAUUUACAUAGAAAUUCUGGCAAGAAAUAUACUAAAUAAAUUUUAUUUUCUACAACCAGUUAUAUGGCGUAUAUUUUAAGUGGGAUUUCACAUAAAUGCACAAACAUAUUAAUCUAAAAAUGAAUAUCAGUGAAUAAACACCUCAACAUUGUCAAUUAACACUGAUGCAAUAUAUAUCAACAUGUAUAUAUAUAUGUGUGUGUAUACACGUGUAUAUCUAUAUAUAUAUAGAUAGCCAGAUACAGGUAUUACUGAACUGCUGUACUAUAUGCAUGAAAGUAACUUGAUAUAGUAAAUAAACUACACUUCAAUUAAAAAAUAUCCUAACAUUGAGGCUUAUAAUUUAGUAAAUGCAGUCUUUUAUUGAAAAGCUCCCUUUUUUGGCUCAUUCUUCUUGAAAAGGAAAAAUAUAAAAGUAUAGGGAUAUUUUAGUUACUUUAGCAAAUAAAAUUUAUUUAUUUAUUUUUGCUAGAGGUACAUAUACUUUUCAAGCAGCAGAUUGACUCAUGUGAACAGUACGAUGGAUAUGCAUUUUGAAAUGUGUUUUACUUUUAAUAAAUAUAUAGAUCCAGUAAGUUUUCCUUGAAAAGAAUUAAGAACUCAGAGAAAACAUGAAAUCCUACAUGUUUAUUCUUAAUCUCUAAAAUCAGCUGUGAAAGAAAUUUUGUUGGUAAAAGAGAAUGUAACCAUAAGCCAAAGAAAUUGUUAAUCACACAACUAUAGUCUUGAAGAUGAGCCUUGAAACUGACCAGCAACUGUGUGAACUGUAUGUCUGUGUACAUGUGUGUGCAUGUGUACGCGAGUGUGUGUGUGUUGUUUUGUUUAGCCACUUUAUAAAAGAUUACAGAAAAAUAAUGUAUCAGUUUGUGUAUAUAAUAAGUGUCACAAAGUCAUUAUUCAACCCUCAGUAAUAUAAGCUCUACCUGUUCACAUAGAUGAGAAAAGUACUCAGCUGGUAUGAAACACAACUCAAAAAAAAUAUUUUAUCUUCCAAUAUCUAAAUUUAAUUUAUAGUUUGGCAGCCAUUUCAUAUUUAGUUAACUUUCCUCUACUGGUAGACUUUUUGAAAUCCUCUAACCCAUUGUGAAAAAGUAGUCUUUUUAGGAGUUCCCGUUGCGGCACAGUGGUUGACGAAUCCAACUAGGAACCAUGAGGUUGCGGGUUCGAUCCCUGCCCUUGCUUAGUGGGUUGACGAUCUGGCGUUGCCUUGUGCUGUGGUGUGGGUUGCAGACGCAGCUCGGAUCCCGCGUUGCUGUGGCUCUGGCAUAGGCCAGUGGCUACAGCUCCGAUUCGACCCCUAUCCUGGGAGCCUCCAUAUGCCGCGGGAGCGGCCCAAGAAAUAGC
Molecule: long non-coding RNA, 3660 nt
Filed under: Sus scrofa (pig)
Lineage: Eukaryota; Metazoa; Chordata; Mammalia; Artiodactyla; Suidae
Description: lncRNA (ENSSSCG00000062776.1)
Source: RNAcentral